CCCCUAGAUGUUCUGGGCCGCACGCGCGCUACACUGAACAGUUCAACAAGUCUUAACCUUGGCCGAUAGGUCUGGGUAAUCUUUGAACGCUGUUCGUGAUUGGGAUAGACCUUUGCAAUUAUGGGUCUUCAACGAGGAAUUCCUAGUAAACGCAAGUCAUCAGCUUGCAUUGAUUACGUCCCUGCCCUUUGUACACACCGCCCGUCGCACCUACCGAUUGAAUGGUCCGGUGAAAUCUCGGGACGGCGGCUCGGUCGCUUGCGUCCGACUGCUGAAACUUGAUUAAACCAUAUCAUUUAGAGGAAGGUGAAGUCGUAGCA
RNAcentral lists this ribosomal RNA (320 nucleotides) under uncultured eukaryote. Its description in RNAcentral is "partial 18S ribosomal RNA". It matches the Rfam family "Eukaryotic small subunit ribosomal RNA", at positions 1470 to 1796 of the family's 1831-position model. The record is from RNAcentral.